UUCUUUUUCUUUCGUUUUCUUUGUUUUUUCUCUCUCUCUCUGAAAAGGGCAAUACAAAAAAAGGAGAGGACGGG
Molecule: non-coding RNA, 74 nt
Filed under: Madagascaria erythrocladioides
Lineage: Eukaryota; Rhodophyta; Compsopogonophyceae; Erythropeltidales; Erythrotrichiaceae
Source: RNAcentral